RNAcentral lists this ribosomal RNA (194 nucleotides) under uncultured Rhizobium sp. RNAcentral's name for it is "partial 16S ribosomal RNA". The record is from RNAcentral. Lineage: Bacteria; Pseudomonadati; Pseudomonadota; Alphaproteobacteria; Hyphomicrobiales; Rhizobiaceae.
GGCUCUUCUCCGUGAUACCGUCAUUAUCUUCUCCGGUGAAAGAGCUUUACAACCCUAGGGCCUUCAUCACUCACGCGGCAUGGCUGGAUCAGGCUUGCGCCCAUUGUCCAAUAUGCCCCACUGCUGCCUCCCGUAGGCCCCCCGUUGCCCCCGCCCCGCCCGCCGCGCGCGGCGGGCGGGGCGGGGGCACGGGG